This is a long non-coding RNA of Pogoniulus pusillus (Red-fronted tinkerbird), 2267 nucleotides long. RefSeq lists it as uncharacterized. NCBI's taxonomy places the organism in Eukaryota, Metazoa, Chordata, Aves, Piciformes, Lybiidae. The transcript is spliced from 2 exons. The record is from RefSeq and is a predicted model, not a curated record.
GGGAGGGCUGGGAGGCUCUGCUGCGGCGCCUGGGGGGUUUUGACUCGCUGCCCACUUUUAUUCCCAGCAAAUUAAUAAUUUCCUCUGGCGGCAGCAGUGCCAGGCUGGGUGCCUGCCCGCGCACGCGUGCCGCCGGCUCCCGCUGCCCUCCCAGCCCUGGCCGCCCCCCUCUCCCGCCACGCACGGAGGGUCCGUGCUGCUCCUCAUCCUCGGCUGGGCUCCUUCCAGCUGUGUGCUACCAUCAGCUUCAGCCCAGCUGUGACAGCCGCGGCCUCGGGAGCACCCCGGCGGGAGUGCCAGGCCCGGCUGUGAACUGAUGAUGUGAGUGCUAGAGACGGUGGAGGAACACGCUGGGUGGUGAGGAGGGCAAGCUCAGCCCUGGGAAGGAGCUCCGGGCUUCACAGCCAGCCUGGCACAGCGCUGGGUGAGGCAGGAAAGUGAGCAGGCAAACGGGCACAGGGAGCAGCCACCGGGGCACGCUUGCCUGCGUGCUGGCGCUGGAGGUGCAGGGCAGCAGGACAAACCCAGCGUGCUGCAGGGCACCAGCGGGCACCACAGUGCCUGGGAUCUAAUCUCGUGGUAGCACAAGUCAGCCACGAGUGCUGCCACAGCUGGACGUGCUCGCAGCAGCCUGGGCACACGCUGCAGUAGCCUGCGAGUGGCAACACCUCCCUGCGUGCCACUGCUGUGCUGUGUGCCACACAGGGUGCAGGCACGGGUGCCUCUCCCUUAUGUGGGCACACUGUGGCACCAGGAGAUCUCAGGGCAUCGAGUUUUAAACUAGAGCAGGGUAGAUGUAGGUUGGACAUUAGGAAGAAGCUCUUUGCAAUGUGGGUUGUGGGACACUGGCACAGGUUGCCCAAAGAGGUGGUGGAGACCUCAUCGCUGGAGACAUUCAAGGCCAGGCUUGAUGGGGUUCUGAGCAACCUGCUCCAGCUGGGAACGUCCCCGCUUGCUGCAGAGGGUUGGACUAGGUGACCUUUAAAGGUCCCUUCCAAACCAUUCCCUGGUGAUCCUCUUGAUUUCUGGGAACCCAAGCCCGUUCCUCUGGCCGCAUUGUGCUUUGUUCCUUAUUUAUAUCCCCGGGGUGGUGCCACAGGUGGGCAAUUGUUCCAGCUGACAGGCUGAAAAGCAAAGAAACAAGAUUUAACUUCCUGCUAUUCAAUUAGAGAAAGUGAGCAUUCAUCACCAGCUGCUGGCUGCUGGCAGGCACAGACCCACCCGCCGCGGCGGGCGCAGCAAAAGCUCUCCUCGGCAGGAAAGCUGCCUGCUGCCGUGGGCACCGUGGAUCCGGCUGCCAGUGCUGCUCCGAAGUAGCUUCGAGUCCUCCUGUCUGCAGAGGGGCUCGGGUUAUCUUCCAAGCUGGUUGUGAUCAACGGGGACGCAGUUGGAAGCCGUUUCGUGUCACUGCACCAAGCCACACGCACACGUAUCUGCCCAGAUGCCUCCACGCACGCCGGCUGCCGUGCCAGACCUCGCAGCAGCCUCCCUGUGCCCUGUUAGAGAAGAAGGGCACCCCGCUGGGCCAGGGCUGAGCCGAGAGCUGCACCUCGCACGAACAUGGGUUAUUCACUCCAGACAAGGAAGGUGACACUCCGCAGCCAAGGCAAUCAACAGCAAUUAGCCCUUUUGGGGAGCUCGACAUGAAACGCUGCAGAGGCUUUGCUUGUGCGUGCCGGGGGCGCUUCCUCCGCUCCUUCGGGAGCGAUGGGAGCUGGACAGCCCAAACCGAACUGGUCCUGUCCGAGCACAACUUGGUGUCAUUUCCAGGAGGCUGGGAGGGCUUAGGGGUGGGGGCAGGGGGGGAUGUCUGUGGAUGUUAAAGGCACUUGUGUGCCCGGGCAGCCAAGGCGCAUGCUGUCAUUACCUCUGCAAUGCCAUCUGGCCGGCAGCGACGCAGCUAGGACCAGGGGCUGUGAGCGGGAGAACAUUUUACAACAGAAAGCAAUUAACUGAAGAAAGCCCUUUUUAAAAUGCAGUAAUUAAAAGCAGUCCCUCCCCCUUGUUUUCCUUUUAAGCCGAAAGUUGCUGUUUACUCAUUUGCUUUACAAAGUGUGCCUUGUUGUGGCUUCAGAAGAAAUGAAAGUUUGAAGUGGUUAGAGAAGAAAGGCUCUGGGGCUGCUGCGUUCCAGGCAGGGCGGAGGGGCAGGGGCUCUCCAGCCUGGCUUGUUUGUAUUUGUUCUUGUCUACUCACAAGAUCGCUAAACACACAUUUAACAAGUGGUGAAACUGUCUACCGGCCUGAUCUCUCCCAGGGUUCAUGAGAA